This 429-nucleotide ribosomal RNA is filed under the name Chloroflexota bacterium. RNAcentral describes it as "Chloroflexi bacterium partial 16S ribosomal RNA". It matches the Rfam family "Bacterial small subunit ribosomal RNA", at positions 355 to 776 of the family's 1533-position model. The record is from RNAcentral. Lineage: Bacteria; Bacillati; Chloroflexota.
UGGGGAAUAUUGCACAAUCGGCGCAAGCCUGAUGCAGCCAUGCCGCGUGUGUGAAGAAGGCCUUCGGGUUGUAAAGCACUUUCAGCGGGGAGGAAGGCGAUAAGGUUAAUAACCUUGUCGAUUGACGUUACCCGCAGAAGAAGCACCGGCUAACUCCGUGCCAGCAGCCGCGGUAAUACGGAGGGUGCAAGCGUUAAUCGGAAUUACUGGGCGUAAAGCGCACGCAGGCGGUCUGUCAAGUCGGAUGUGAAAUCCCCGGGCUUAACCUGGGAACUGCAUUCGAAACUGGCAGGCUAGAGUCUUGUAGAGGGGGGUAGAAUUCCAGGUGUAGCGGUGAAAUGCGUAGAGAUCUGGAGGAAUACCGGUGGCGGAGGCGGCCCCCUGGACGAAGACUGACGCUCAGGUGCGAAAGCGUGGGGAGCAAACAGG